RNAcentral lists this ribosomal RNA (442 nucleotides) under uncultured bacterium. Its description in RNAcentral is "partial 16S ribosomal RNA". It matches the Rfam family "Bacterial small subunit ribosomal RNA", at positions 338 to 795 of the family's 1533-position model. The record is from RNAcentral.
CCUACGGGGGGCAGCAGUGAGGAAUAUUGGUCAAUGGACGCAAGUCUGAACCAGCCAUGCCGCGUGAAGGAAGAAGGCUUUCGGGUUGUAAACUUCUUUUAAGGGGGAAGAGCAGAAGACGGUACCCCUUGCAUAAGCCACGGCUAACUACGUGCCAGCAGCCGCGGUAAUACGUAGGUGGCAAGCGUUGUCCGGAUUUACUGGGUGUAAAGGGCGUGCAGCCGGAGAGGCAAGUCAGAUGUGAAAUCCGCGGGCUCAACUCGCGAACUGCAUUUGAAACUGCUUCCCUUGAGUAUCGGAGAGGUAAUCGGAAUUCUUGGUGUAGGGGUAAAAUCCGUAGAGAUCAAGAGGAAUACUCAUUGCGAAGGCGACCUGCUAGAACAUAACUGACGCUGAUGCGCGAAAGCGUGGGGAGCAAACAGGAUUAGAUACCCUUGUAGUC